Molecule: ribosomal RNA, 433 nt
Filed under: uncultured bacterium
Lineage: Bacteria
Description: partial 16S ribosomal RNA
Rfam family: Bacterial small subunit ribosomal RNA
Source: RNAcentral
AACGAACGCUGGCGGCAGGCUUAACACAUGCAAGUCGAGCGAGACCUUCGGGUCUAGCGGCGGACGGGUGAGUAACGCGUGGGAACGUGCCCUUCUCUACGGAAUAGCCCCGGGAAACUGGGAGUAAUACUGUAUACGCCCUUUGGGGGAAAGAUUUAUCGGAGAAGGAUCGGCCCGCGUUGGAUUAGGUAGUUGGUGGGGUAAUGGCCCACCAAGCCGACGAUCCAUAGCUGGUUUGAGAGGAUGAUCAGCCACACUGGGACUGAGACACGGCCCAGACUCCUACGGGAGGCAGCAGUGGGGAAUCUUAGACAAUGGGGGCAACCCUGAUCUAGCCAUGCCGCGUGAGUGAUGAAGGCCUUAGGGUUGUAAAGCUCUUUCAGCUGGGAAGAUAAUGACGGUACCAGCAGAAGAAGCCCCGGCUAACUCCGUG